CCUACGGGGGGCUGCAGUGGGGAAUAUUGGACAAUGGGGGGAACCCUGAUCCAGCCAUGCCGCGUGUGUGAAGAAGGCCCUCGGGUUGUAAAGCACUUUCAGUGAGGAAGAACGCCUGGUGGUUAAUACCCAUCAGGAAAGACAUCACUCACAGAAGAAGCACCGGCUAACUCCGUGCCAGCAGCCGCGGUAAUACGGAGGGUGCGAGCGUUAAUCGGAAUUACUGGGCGUAAAGCGCGCGUAGGUGGCUUGAUAAGCCGGUUGUGAAAGCCCCGGGCUCAACCUGGGAACGGCAUACGGAACUGUCAAGCUAGAGUGCAGGAGAGGAAGGUAGAAUUCCCGGUGUAGCGGUGAAAUGCGUAGAGAUCGGGAGGAAUACCAGUGGCGAAGGCGGCCUUCUGGACUGACACUGACACUGAGGUGCGAAAGCGUGGGUAGCAAACAGGAUUAGAUACCCUUGUAGUC
This 465-nucleotide ribosomal RNA is filed under the name Vreelandella stevensii. Its description in RNAcentral is "partial 16S ribosomal RNA". It matches the Rfam family "Bacterial small subunit ribosomal RNA", at positions 338 to 795 of the family's 1533-position model. The record is from RNAcentral. Lineage: Bacteria; Pseudomonadati; Pseudomonadota; Gammaproteobacteria; Oceanospirillales; Halomonadaceae.